Molecule: long non-coding RNA, 210 nt
Filed under: Phoenix dactylifera (date palm)
Lineage: Eukaryota; Viridiplantae; Streptophyta; Magnoliopsida; Arecales; Arecaceae
Description: long non-coding RNA (PDAC_LNC011814)
Source: RNAcentral
ACUUAGAGGAGGAAGAAGUCAGCUAAAUUGAAUGCAGAAUUUUUCCAUGCAUGAACUAGGGUUCCUCUCUUUUCUUUUCCCUUUUUUCUUCUUCUUUUCUCUCUUUUUUCCUUGAAUUCGACCACCAGCUGAUGGAGGUCCUUUUAAUGUUGCUCUCCCACCUAACUUCAUGCCAACCAUCCCAUAUUUGUGGAGGAUUUUGUGGGGUUU